UUUGUUCUCUGUUUUCAGGGAAAAAAUCGUCUGCAACCUGGAAAAUGCUGGGCCUUUCCAGGUUUCCAGGGACGUUUGGGCGUCUCACUUUCACACCCAGCCACCAUCAGACAUGUGUCCCUGGGUCACAUUGCUAAGACUGUGUCCCCAACGUCCUCUGUCUCUAGUGCUCCCAAAGAAUUUUCUGUAUAUGGAGCAAAGAAUUUAGAAGAUGAGGAAACUCAUUUGGGAACUUUCCAAUACGAUGAAGAUGGAGACCAAAUACAGACCUUCAAACUUCCUGCCGAUAAAGUUGGUUCCUUCCGUCAUGUUACUCUAAAGGUGAACAGCAACUGGGGUCAUCCGGACUACACCUGCCUCUAUAACUUUAGAGUGCAUGGAGAAAUUGCAAAAUGACGAGGAGAAAUGGAUGACAUAUGGAGAAAACUAUUUUUUUACCCUUUGAUAUAUCUCUUUUGUAUAUGUUUACACAAUUAAUUUUAAUUCCUCACAAAAAGUCCUCACAGUCAACCAUAAGUAGCACAAUGGCACAGUUAGUAGCACUGUUACCUUUCAGAAAGAGGUUCAGACGUAAUAAAAGUGGGAUUUGUGGGUUUUCUCCGGGU
Molecule: long non-coding RNA, 605 nt
Organism: Poeciliopsis prolifica (blackstripe livebearer)
Lineage: Eukaryota; Metazoa; Chordata; Actinopteri; Cyprinodontiformes; Poeciliidae
Exons: 3
Source: RefSeq, a predicted model, not a curated record